RNAcentral lists this ribosomal RNA (470 nucleotides) under uncultured organism. RNAcentral describes it as "partial 16S ribosomal RNA". It matches the Rfam family "Bacterial small subunit ribosomal RNA", at positions 335 to 797 of the family's 1533-position model. The record is from RNAcentral.
ACUCCUACGGGAGGCAGCAGUGGGGAAUUUUGGACAAUGGGCGAAAGCCUGAUCCAGCAAUGCCGCGUGAGUGAAGAAGGCCUUCGGGUUGUAAAGCUCUUUUGUCAGGGAAGAAACGGUGAAAGCUAAUAUCUUUUGCUAAUGACGGUACCUGAAGAAUAAGCACCGGCUAACUACGUGCCAGCAGCCGCGGUAAUACGUAGGGUGCAAGCGUUAAUCGGAAUUACUGGGCGUAAAGCGUGCGCAGGCGGUUUUGUAAGUCUGAUGUGAAAUCCCCGGGCUCAACCUGGGAAUUGCAUUGGAGACUGCAAGGCUAGAAUCUGGCAGAGGGGGGUAGAAUUCCACGUGUAGCAGUGAAAUGCGUAGAUAUGUGGAGGAACACCGAUGGCGAAGGCAGCCCCCUGGGUCAAGAUUGACGCUCAUGCACGAAAGCGUGGGGAGCAAACAGGAUUAGAAACCCUUGUAGUCCC